UACGGAGGGUGCAAGCGUUGUUCGGAAUUACUGGGCGUAAAGCACGCGUAGGCGGCUUGGUAAGUUGGGAGUGAAAUCCCGGGGCUCAACCCGGAACUGCUUUCAAAACUAUCAAGCUAGAGUAUGGCAGGGGACAGUGGAAUUCCUAGUGUAGAAGGUGAAAUUCGUAGAUAUUAGGAGGAACACCAGUGGCGAAAGCGACUGUCUGGACCAUUACUGACGCUGAGGCGUGAAAGCGUGGGGAGCAAACAGGAUUAGAUACCCCUCGUAGU
This 272-nucleotide ribosomal RNA is filed under the name uncultured bacterium. Its description in RNAcentral is "partial 16S ribosomal RNA". It matches the Rfam family "Bacterial small subunit ribosomal RNA", at positions 524 to 794 of the family's 1533-position model. The record is from RNAcentral.